Molecule: long non-coding RNA, 226 nt
Filed under: Elaeis guineensis (African oil palm)
Lineage: Eukaryota; Viridiplantae; Streptophyta; Magnoliopsida; Arecales; Arecaceae
Description: long non-coding RNA (EGUI_LNC068365)
Source: RNAcentral
UUGGUCAUUCUCGACUGGUUACAGUGAUUUGAUUGCAUCAAAAAGGUACAAUCACUCUAUUGGUAUUAGAUAUCCUGGAAUAAAGAUGGGGUUGGGCCCAGUAACUGUUAAGUGAGGAUCUCAAUGAUGGCUUUGCACUUGCUGGUGAAUGAUGGGUCUGACUUAAUUAAGAAAUAUGUCAAUAACUAUUAAGUGAGGCCACAGGACUUAGAGACCGAAUCCACUG